This 234-nucleotide ribosomal RNA is filed under the name uncultured bacterium. RNAcentral describes it as "partial 16S ribosomal RNA". It matches the Rfam family "Bacterial small subunit ribosomal RNA", at positions 1267 to 1500 of the family's 1533-position model. The record is from RNAcentral.
GCAAAUCUCAAAAAAACAAUCUCAGUUCAGACUGCAGGCUGCAACUCGCCUGCACGAAGUCGGAAUUACUAGUAAUCGUAGGUCAGCAUACUACGGUGAAUACGUUCCCGGGCCUUGUACACACCGCCCGUCAAACCAUGAGAGUUGGCAACACCCGAAGUCGGUAGUCUAACCGCAAGGAGGACGCCGCCGAAGGUGGGGUUGAUGAUUAGGGUUAAGUCGUAACAAGGUAAC